GAUCCUGGCUCAGAAUCAACGCUGGCGGCGUGCCUAAUACAUGCAAGUCGAACGCGAAAGCCCCGCAAGGGGCAAGUAGAGUGGCAAACGGGUGAGUAACGCGUGGGCGACCUACCUUCGAGUGGGGGAUAACCUUCCGAAAGGAGGGCUAAUACCGCAUGACAUCCCGUGUUUGGAUACACGGACAUCAAAGCUGGGGAUCGCAAGACCUGGCGCUUGGAGAGGGGCCCGCGUCCGAUUAGCUAGUUGGUGGGGUAACGGCUCACCAAGGCUUCGAUCGGUAUCCGGCCUGAGAGGGCGGACGGACACACUGGGACUGAGACACGGCCCAGACUCCUACGGGAGGCAGCAGUAGGGAAUUGUUCGCAAUGGGCGCAAGCCUGACGACGCAACGCCGCGUGGAGGAUGAAGACCUUCGGGUCGUAAACUCCUUUCGACCGAGAUGAAUACUCGCCGACCUAAUACGUUGGCGAGCUGACAGUAUCGAGGGAAGAAGCCCCGGCUAACUCCGUGCCAGCAGCCGCGGUAAUACGGGGGGGGCAAGCGUUGUUCGGAAUUACUGGGCGUAAAGGGUUCGUAGGUGGCUUACUAAGUCAGACGUGAAAUCCCUCAGCUUAACUGGGGAACUGCGUCUGAGACUGGUCGGCUUGAGUGCAGGAGAGGAACGCGGAAUUCCAGGUGUAGCGGUGA
Molecule: ribosomal RNA, 690 nt
Filed under: uncultured Acidobacteriota bacterium
Lineage: Bacteria; Pseudomonadati; Acidobacteriota
Description: bacterial SSU rRNA
Rfam family: Bacterial small subunit ribosomal RNA
Source: RNAcentral